RNAcentral lists this long non-coding RNA (201 nucleotides) under Elaeis guineensis (African oil palm). RNAcentral describes it as "long non-coding RNA (EGUI_LNC004085)". Lineage: Eukaryota; Viridiplantae; Streptophyta; Magnoliopsida; Arecales; Arecaceae. The record is from RNAcentral.
GCAUCACUUACUACUGACUUGAUCGCUAUUGAAUUCAGCAUCAUGGCUAGCUAUUUGUCAAUACAUGCAAUUGGAAGCUGCUGAAUCUGAUUGUAUGGCCGUGGGCAUAAAUGGAUCUAACACAAAUCUUUUUAUCUUUAUUUUUUUAGAGUCCUUUCUAUAAUUUGCUGUUCUAAUUAAGUAAGGUGAUGAAGAAGGCCA